Molecule: ribosomal RNA, 509 nt
Filed under: uncultured bacterium
Lineage: Bacteria
Description: partial 16S ribosomal RNA
Rfam family: Bacterial small subunit ribosomal RNA
Source: RNAcentral
GACGAACGCUGGCGGCGCGCUUAACACAUGCAAGUCGAGCGAGAACCUGGGCUUCGGCCCUGGGGACAGCGGCGAACGGGUGAGUAACACGUGGGUAAUCUGCCCUUGACAUCGGGAUAGCCCGGGGAAACCCGGAUUAAUACCGAAUAGCCUCCGGAGCCUUCGGGCGCCGGAGCAAAGGUAGCUUCGGCCUCUGGUCGAGGAUGAGCCCGCGGCGGAUUAGCUUGUUGGCGGGGUAACGGCCCACCAAGGCGACGAUCCGUAGCUGGUCUGAGAGGACGAUCAGCCACACUGGGACUGAGACACGGCCCAGACUCCUACGGGAGGCAGCAGUGGGGAAUCUUGCGCCAAUGCGGGAAACCGUGACGCAGCGACGCCGCGUGGGGGAAGAAGGCCUUCGGGUUGUAAACCUCUUUCAGGAGGGACGAAGCCACUCGGGUGAAUAGCCCAGAGGGUGACGGUACCUCCAGAAGAAGCCCCGGCUAACUACGUGCCAGCCGCCGCGGUAA